GACGAACGCUGGCGGCGUGCUUAACACAUGCAAGUCGAACGGAAAGGCCCUGCUUUUGUGGGGUGCUCGAGUGGCGAACGGGUGAGUAACACGUGAGUAACCUGCCCUUGACUUUGGGAUAACUUCAGGAAACUGGGGCUAAUACCGGAUAGGAGCUCCUGCUGCAUGGUGGGGGUUGGAAAGUUUCGGCGGUUGGGGAUGGACUCGCGGCUUAUCAGCUUGUUGGUGGGGUAGUGGCUUACCAAGGCUUUGACGGGUAGCCGGCCUGAGAGGGUGACCGGCCACAUUGGGACUGAGAUACGGCCCAGACUCCUACGGGAGGCAGCAGUAGGGAAUAUUGCACAAUGGGCGGAAGCCUGAUGCAGCAACGCCGCGUGCGGGAUGACGGCCUUCGGGUUGUAACCCGCUUUCGCCUGUGACGAAGCGUGAGUGACGGUAAUGGGUAAAGAAGCACCGGCUAACUACGUGCCAGCAGCCGCGGUGAUACGUAGGGUGCGAGCGUUGUCCGGAUUUAUUGGGCGUAAAGGGCUCGUAGGUGGUUGAUCGCGUCGGAAGUGUAAUCUUGGGGCUUAACCCUGAGCGUGCUUUCGAUACGGGUUGACUUGAGGAAGGUAGGGGAGAAUGGAAUUCCUGGUGGAGCGGUGGAAUGCGCAGAUAUCAGGAGGAACACCAGUGGCGAAGGCGGUUCUCUGGGCCUUUCCUGACGCUGAGGAGCGAAAGCGUGGGGAGCGAACAGGCUUAGAUACCCUGGUAGUCCACGCUGUAAACGGUGGGUACUAGGUGUGGGGUCCAUUCCACGGGUUCCGUGCCGUAGCUAACGCUUUAAGUACCCCGCCUGGGGAGUACGGCCGCAAGGCUAAAACUCAAAGGAAUUGACGGGGCCCCGCACAAGCGGCGGAGCAUGCGGAUUAAUUCGAUGCAACGCGUAGAACCUUACCUGGGUUUGACAUGGAUCGGGAGUGCUCAGAGAUGGGUGUGCCUCUUUUGGGGUCGGUUCACAGGUGGUGCAAGGCUGUCGUCAGCUCGUGUCGUGAGAUGUUGGGUUAAGUCCCGCAACGAGCGCAACCCUUGUUCACUGUUGCCAGCACGUUAUGGUGGGGACUCAGUGGAGACCGCCGGGGUCAACUCGGAGGAAGGUGGGGAUGACGUCAAGUCAUCAUGCCCCUUAUGUCCAGGGCUUCACGCAUGCUACAAUGGCUGGUACAGAGAGUGGCGAGCCUGUGAGGGUGAGCGAAUCUCGGAAAGCCGGUCUCAGUUCGGAUUGGGGUCUGCAACUCGACCUCAUGAAGUCGGAGUCGCUAGUAAUCGCAGAUCAGCAACGCUGCGGUGAAUACGUUCCCGGG
RNAcentral lists this ribosomal RNA (1343 nucleotides) under uncultured bacterium. RNAcentral's name for it is "16S ribosomal RNA". It matches the Rfam family "Bacterial small subunit ribosomal RNA", at positions 28 to 1378 of the family's 1533-position model. The record is from RNAcentral.